GNAGAACCUCUCGUUUAGAUUGAAGGAGCUUGCUCCUGAUUGAUAAACAUUUGAGUGAGUGGCGGACGGGUGAGUAACACGUGGGUAACCUGCCCUAAAGUGGGGGAUAACAUUUGGAAACAGAUGCUAAUACCGCAUAAAACCUAACACCGCAUGGUGUAGGGUUGAAAGAUGGUUUCGGCUAUCACUUUAGGAUGGACCCGCGGUGCAUUAGUUAGUUGGUGAGGUAAAGGCUCACCAAGACCGUGAUGCAUAGCCGACCUGAGAGGGUAAUCGGCCACACUGGGACUGAGACACGGCCCAGACUCCUACGGGAGGCAGCAGUAGGGAAUCUUCCACAAUGGACGAAAGUCUGAUGGAGCAACGCCGCGUGAGUGAAGAAGGUUUUCGGAUCGUAAAACUCUGUUGUUGGAGAAGAAUGUAUCUGAUAGUAACUGAUCAGGUAGUGACGGUAUCCAACCAGAAAGCCACGGCUAACUACGUGCCAGCAGCCGCGGUAAUACGUAGGUGGCAAGCGUUGUCCGGAUUUAUUGGCGUAAAGCGAGCGCAGGCGGUUUCUUAAGUCUGAUGUGAAAGCCUUCGGCUCAACCGAAGAAGUGCAUCGGAAACUGGGAAACUUGAGUGCAGAAGAGGACAGUGGAACUCCAUGUGUAGCGGUGAAAUGCCGUAGAUAA
RNAcentral lists this ribosomal RNA (674 nucleotides) under Lactobacillus sp. B 228. Its description in RNAcentral is "bacterial SSU rRNA". It matches the Rfam family "Bacterial small subunit ribosomal RNA", at positions 61 to 697 of the family's 1533-position model. Lineage: Bacteria; Bacillati; Bacillota; Bacilli; Lactobacillales; Lactobacillaceae. The record is from RNAcentral.